This 1089-nucleotide ribosomal RNA is filed under the name Salmonella enterica. RNAcentral's name for it is "bacterial SSU rRNA". It matches the Rfam family "Bacterial small subunit ribosomal RNA", at positions 108 to 1194 of the family's 1533-position model. Lineage: Bacteria; Pseudomonadati; Pseudomonadota; Gammaproteobacteria; Enterobacterales; Enterobacteriaceae. The record is from RNAcentral.
GAGUAAUGUCUGGGAAACUGCCUGAUGGAGGGGGAUAACUACUGGAAACGGUGGCUAAUACCGCAUAACGUCGCAAGACCAAAGAGGGGGACCUUCGGGCCUCUUGCCAUCAGAUGUGCCCAGAUGGGAUUAGCUUGUUGGUGAGGUAACGGCUCACCAAGGCGACGAUCCCUAGCUGGUCUGAGAGGAUGACCAGCCACACUGGAACUGAGACACGGUCCAGACUCCUACGGGAGGCAGCAGUGGGGAAUAUUGCACAAUGGGCGCAAGCCUGAUGCAGCCAUGCCGCGUGUAUGAAGAAGGCCUUCGGGUUGUAAAGUACUUUCAGCGGGGAGGAAGGUGUUGUGGUUAAUAACCGCAGCAAUUGACGUUACCCGCAGAAGAAGCACCGGCUAACUCCGUGCCAGCAGCCGCGGUAAUACGGAGGGUGCAAGCGUUAAUCGGAAUUACUGGGCGUAAAGCGCACGCAGGCGGUCUGUCAAGUCGGAUGUGAAAUCCCCGGGCUCAACCUGGGAACUGCAUUCGAAACUGGCAGGCUUGAGUCUUGUAGAGGGGGGUAGAAUUCCAGGUGUAGCGGUGAAAUGCGUAGAGAUCUGGAGGAAUACCGGUGGCGAAGGCGGCCCCCUGGACAAAGACUGACGCUCAGGUGCGAAAGCGUGGGGAGCAAACAGGAUUAGAUACCCUGGUAGUCCACGCCGUAAACGAUGUCUACUUGGAGGUUGUGCCCUUGAGGCGUGGCUUCCGGAGCUAACGCGUUAAGUAGACCGCCUGGGGAGUACGGCCGCAAGGUUAAAACUCAAAUGAAUUGACGGGGGCCCGCACAAGCGGUGGAGCAUGUGGUUUAAUUCGAUGCAACGCGAAGAACCUUACCUGGUCUUGACAUCCACAGAAGAAUCCAGAGAUGGAUUUGUGCCUUCGGGAACUGUGAGACAGGUGCUGCAUGGCUGUCGUCAGCUCGUGUUGUGAAAUGUUGGGUUAAGUCCCGCAACGAGCGCAACCCUUAUCCUUUGUUGCCAGCGAUUAGGUCGGGAACUCAAAGGAGACUGCCAGUGAUAAACUGGAGGAAGGUGGGGAUGACGUCAAGUCAUC